GUAACAAGGUUUCNGUAGGUGAACNUGCGGAAGGAUCAUUG
RNAcentral lists this ribosomal RNA (41 nucleotides) under Senecio marotiri. RNAcentral's name for it is "partial 18S ribosomal RNA". The record is from RNAcentral. Lineage: Eukaryota; Viridiplantae; Streptophyta; Magnoliopsida; Asterales; Asteraceae.